GACGAACCGUGCGAACGUUGUUCGGAAUCACUGGGCGUAAAGGGUGCGUAGGCGGGUCUUUAAGUCAGGGGGGAAAUCCUGGAGCUCAACUCCAGAACUGCCUUUGAUACUGAAGAUCUUGAGUUCGGGAGAGGUGAGUGGAACUGCGAGUGUAGAGGUGAAAUUCGUAGAUAUUCGCAAGAACACCAGUGGCGAAGGCGGCUCACUGGCCCGAUACUGACGCUGAGGCACGAAAGCGUGGGGAGCAAACAGG
RNAcentral lists this ribosomal RNA (253 nucleotides) under uncultured bacterium. RNAcentral describes it as "partial 16S ribosomal RNA". It matches the Rfam family "Bacterial small subunit ribosomal RNA", at positions 524 to 776 of the family's 1533-position model. The record is from RNAcentral.